This 1903-nucleotide ribosomal RNA is filed under the name human gut metagenome. Its description in RNAcentral is "bacterial LSU rRNA". It matches the Rfam family "Bacterial large subunit ribosomal RNA", at positions 530 to 2432 of the family's 2925-position model. The record is from RNAcentral.
GGAGGGGAGUGAAAUAGAAUACUGAAACCAUGUGCUUACAAAAAGUCAGAGCCCGUUAAUGGGUAAUGGCGUGCCUUUUGCAGAAUGAACCGGCGAGUUAAUGUUGCAUGCGAGGUUAAGUAGAAGAUACGGAGCCGAAGCGAAAGCGAGUCUUAAUAGGGCGAUUUAGUAUGUAGUAUUAGACCCGAAACUGAGUGAUCUAGCCAUGGGCAGGUUGAAGUUUAGGUAAAACUAAAUGGAGGACCGAACCGACGUACCCGGAAACGUGCGCGGAUGACCUGUGGCUAGCGGUGAAAUUCCAAUCGAACUCAGAUAUAGCUGGUUCUCCCCGAAAUAGGUUUAGGCCUAGCCUUGUGGUAAGCUUUAUGGAGGUAGAGCACUGAAUAUGUAAUGGCCCCGUCUAGGGGUACUGAAUGUAAUCAAACUCCGAAUGCCAUAAAAGUAUACACAGGAGUCAGUGUAUGGGUGAUAACGUCCAUACGCGAAAGGAAAAGAAUCCAGACCGCCAACUAAGGUCCCAAAAUUUAUGCUAAGUGGGAAAGGAUGUGGAGUUGUCAAAACAGCUAGGAGGUUGGCUUAGAAGCAGCCACCCUUUAAAGAGUGCGUAAUAGCUCACUAGUCGAGUGACACUGCGCCGAAGAUGUACCGGGGCUAAGCAUAAUACCGAAGUUGCGGAUUGUAAUUUAUUACAAUGGUAGGGGAGCGUUCUAAUUGCGGUGAAGGUAGACCGAAAGGACUGCUGGAGCGGUUAGAAGUGAGAAUGCCGGUGUGAGUAGCGCAAGAUGUGUGAGAAUCACAUCCACCGUUUGCCUAAGGUUUCCUGGGGCAGGUUCGUCCUCCCAGGGUUAGUCGGGACCUAAGACGAGGCCGAAAGGCGUAGCCGAUGGACAACAGGUUUAUAUUCCUGUACUACCUAUAUGACUGAUGGAAUGACGGAGAAGGCUAGAAGGAGCCAGUUAUUGGAUUCUGGUCUAAGCACAAAGGCUUAUAAAUUGGGAAAUCCGUUUAUAGUUAAGCUGAAGUGUUACGGUGUUGCUGUAGCAAUACAGCUGAAAUCCUUUGACGCCACGCUUCCUAGAAAAGUUUCUAAAGAUAUUAUAUAGGUACCCGUACCGAGAACCAACACAGGUGGGCAAGGAGAGUAUCCUAAGGUGAGCGAGAGAACUAUGGUUAAGGAACUCGGCAAAAUGACCCCGUAACUUCGGGAGAAGGGGUGGUCUAGCGAUAGACCCGCAGUAAAUAGGCCCAGGCGACUGUUUACCAAAAACACAGCUCUCUGCUAAGUCGUAAGACGAUGUAUAGGGGGUGACACCUGCCCAGUGCUGGAAGGUUAAUAGGAUAGCUUAGAUAUGACGUAAGUCGAUUUUAUCGAAGGUUAGAAUUGAAGCCCCAGUGAACGGCGGCCGUAACUAUAACGGUCCUAAGGUAGCGAAAUUCCUUGUCAGGUAAGUUCUGACCCGCACGAAAGGUGUAACGAUCUGGGUACUGUCUCAACCAUAGGCUCGGUGAAAUCUUAAUACCUGUGAAAAUGCAGGUUACCCGCAACAGGACGGAAAGACCCCAUGGAGCUUUACUGUAGCUUGAUAUUGAAAUUUGGUAUACUAUGUAGAGGAUAGGUGGGAGACUUUGAAGUUAGAACGCUAGUUCUAAUGGAGUCAACCUUGGAAUACCACCCUUAGUCUAUUGAAUUUCUAACCUUGUUCCGUGAAUCCGGAAUUGGGACAGUGUCUGGUGGGCAGUUUGACUGGGGCGGUCGCCUCCCAAACAGUAACGGAGGCGCCCAAUGGUUCCCUCAGAAUGGUUGGAAAUCAUUCAUAGAGCGUAAAGGUAUAAGGGAGCUUGACUGCGAGACUUACAAGUCGAGCAGAUACGAAAGUAGGGCUUAGUGAUCAGGCGAUUCAGU